GUAGGUGGCAAGCGUUGUCCGGAAUUAUUGGGCGUAAAGCGCGCGCAGGCGGUUCUUUAAGUCUGAUGUGAAAGCCCACGGGCUCAACCGUGGAGGGUCAUUGGAAACUGGAGAGCUUGAGUACAGAAGAGGAAAGCGGAAUUCCACGUGUAGCGGUGAAAUGCGUAGAGAUGUGGAGGAACACCAGUGGCGAAGGCGGCUUUCUGGUCUGUAACUGACGCUGAGGCGCGAAAGCGUGGGGAGCAACCAGGAUUAGAUACCCUGGUAGUCCACGCCGUAAACGAUGAGUGCUAAGUGUUAGGGGGUUUCCGCCCCUUAGUGCUGCAGCUAACGCAUUAAGCACCCCGCCUGGGGAGUACGGCCGCAAGGCUG
RNAcentral lists this ribosomal RNA (372 nucleotides) under uncultured organism. Its description in RNAcentral is "partial 16S ribosomal RNA". It matches the Rfam family "Bacterial small subunit ribosomal RNA", at positions 527 to 896 of the family's 1533-position model. The record is from RNAcentral.